CCUACGGGAGGCAGCAGUAGGGAAUUUUCCCCAAUGGGGGCAACCCUGAUGGAGCAACGCCGCGUGCAGGAUGAAGGCCCUAGGGUCGUAAACUGCUCUUAUAUGUGAAGAUUGUGACGGUAGCAUAUGAAUAAGGAUCGGCUAACUCCGUGCCAGCAGCCGCGGUAAU
RNAcentral lists this ribosomal RNA (169 nucleotides) under uncultured bacterium. Its description in RNAcentral is "partial 16S ribosomal RNA". It matches the Rfam family "Bacterial small subunit ribosomal RNA", at positions 338 to 524 of the family's 1533-position model. The record is from RNAcentral.